UACGUAGGUGGCAAGCGUUAUCCGGAAUUAUUGGGCGUAAAGCGCGCGCAGGCGGUUUCUUAAGUCUGAUGUGAAAGCCCACGGCUCAACCGUGGAGGGUCAUUGGAAACUGGGGAACUUGAGUGCAGAAGAGAAAAGCGGAAUUCCACGUGUAGCGGUGAAAUGCGUAGAGAUGUGGAGGAACACCAGUGGCGAAGGCGGCUUUUGGUCUGUAACUGACGCUGAGGCGCGAAAGCGUGGGGAGCAAACAGGG
RNAcentral lists this ribosomal RNA (253 nucleotides) under uncultured bacterium. Its description in RNAcentral is "partial 16S ribosomal RNA". It matches the Rfam family "Bacterial small subunit ribosomal RNA", at positions 524 to 777 of the family's 1533-position model. The record is from RNAcentral.